GAUGAACGCUGGCGGCGUGCCUAAUACAUGCAAGUCGAGCGAACAGACGAGGAGCUUGCUCCUCUGACGUUAGCGGCGGACGGGUGAGUAACACGUGGAUAACCUACCUAUAAGACUGGGAUAACUUCGGGAAACCGGAGCUAAUACCGGAUAAUAUAUUGAACCGCAUGGUUCAAUAGUGAAAGACGGUUUUGCUUUCACUUAUAGAUGGAUCCUCGCCGCAUUAGCUAGUUGGUAAGGUAACGGCUUACCAAGGCAACGAUGCGUAGCCGACCUGAGAGGGUGAUAGGCCACACUGGAACUGAGACACGGUCCAGACUCCUAAGGGAGGCAGCAGUAGGGAAUCUUCCGCAAUGGGCGAAAGCCUGACGGAGCAACGCCGCGUGAGUGAUGAAGGUCUUCGGAUCGUAAAACUCUGUUAUUAGGGAAGAACAAAUGUGUAAGUAACUAUGCACGUCUUGACGGUACCUAAUCAGAAAGCCACGGCUAACUACGUG
RNAcentral lists this ribosomal RNA (497 nucleotides) under uncultured bacterium. RNAcentral describes it as "partial 16S ribosomal RNA". It matches the Rfam family "Bacterial small subunit ribosomal RNA", at positions 28 to 507 of the family's 1533-position model. The record is from RNAcentral.